CACCAGUUUUUUUUUUUUUUAAUAUUUUUAUAGAUGGACACAAUACACGAUUUAUUUUUAUGUGGUGCUGAUGAUCGAACCCAGUGCCUCACAUGUGCUAGGCAAGCUCUCUACCACUGAGCCACAAUCCCAGCCCCCACCAGCCCUUUUUAUUUUUUGAAACAGUGUCACUGAGUUGCUCAAACUGGCCUCAAACUUGGAAUUCUCCUGCCUCAGCCUCCUGAGUUGCUGGGAUUACAGGCGUGUGCUACCAUAACCAGCUUGCAGCUGACUUUCAAGUGAUUCAGGAAAAAGAAAAAAAAAAGCAAACUGUGAAUUGGUGACUAAUUGAUGUGUACAUGUGAGCUCACUGGACUAUGCUUUCACCUGUCUAAAAUUUCUCAAACUGGAGAAAAUUUUAUGUACCUGUAACAAGGAGUAUGCUGUGACUUAUAAUUUGAUCCAACAAUAUGGGAUUGGAUGAGCAGAAAUAAUUUUAUAGGAAAUGGAAAGAUUGAUAUUGUAAGCAAAAACAGCAUGAUCCAAUUUCUAUAAAAACAUCAAAAUG
This 547-nucleotide long non-coding RNA is filed under the name Marmota monax (woodchuck). The record is from RNAcentral. Lineage: Eukaryota; Metazoa; Chordata; Mammalia; Rodentia; Sciuridae.